GACGAACGCUGGCGGCGUGCUUAACACAUGCAAGUCGAACGGAAAGGCCCUGCUUGCAGGGUACUCGAGUGGCGAACGGGUGAGUAACACGUGGGUGAUCUGCCCUGCACUUCGGGAUAAGCCUGGGAAACUGGGUCUAAUACCGGAUAGGAGCCAUUUUUAGUGUGAUGGUUGGAAAGUUUUUUCGGUGUAGGAUGAGCUCGCGGCCUAUCAGCUUGUUGGUGGGGUAAUGGCCUACCAAGGCGGCGACGGGUAGCCGGCCUGGGAGGGUGGACGGCCACAUUGGGACUGAGAUACGGCCCAGACUCCUACGGGAGGCAGCAGUGGGGAAUAUUGCACAAUGGGCGCAAGCCUGAUGCAGCGACGCCGCGUGGGGGAUGACGGCCUUCGGGUUGGAAACUCGUUUCGCUAGGGACGAAGCUUUUUGUGACGGUACCUAGAGAAGAAGCACCGGCUAACUACGUG
Molecule: ribosomal RNA, 465 nt
Filed under: uncultured bacterium
Lineage: Bacteria
Description: partial 16S ribosomal RNA
Rfam family: Bacterial small subunit ribosomal RNA
Source: RNAcentral